GUUCAUUUAAUUCAUUUUUUGUCAUUUAAAUAUUACUAGGUGAAAUGACAAAUUGCAAUUAUUGUUUUGAGUCUUAAGAUGUAUAUAGUUGGUAAAACUUAGAUUCAUAAACUUCUUUGGUCAGUGUUUGAGUUUGGUUAUUGCAAUAAAGAUUGUACAGCUGUUUUCUAGUUCUGCUUUCAAUGGGAUCAUGUCAGUAGCUUCUUAUUGACCAAAAACUCUCUUGAGUUUAAAUGUGAAAAUGACCAGUGGUGGAGGAUUACUGAGAGCAGUCACAGGGUCACUAUAUUUAUUUCCAGUGAUGUCGGUGCUAUGGACUGGUUGGCAUCUGCGGUGGGAGCUUGCGGAGCAUUUGUUGGUUCCUCUGAGUUUUAUAAAACUCGUAGAAAGGGGAACCAAGUGCUGGUGGUCCAAAGAUGAAAUAAUAGAUUCGGUAGGUUCUUGACAUUGUUGGAGUUUGGACAAGAAAAGAGGCAUGGUUUCAUCGCUAUUCCAGAAGGGUUGAAGGGCGAGGGGUGGAGGAGGACAAAAGGGGUCUUUUGCAGAGGUUUUGAAGAAGCUGCUGCCAAGUAUGGAGGGCAGAAGGGAGGCUAAUUGGGUGGCUGGUGGGAAGGUUGUGCAGUUGGUAUUGCAGUCGCAGUAGCAGUCAUUUCACAUUCUGAAAUGUGAUGGUAUGUCUCCCACGGAUGGCUCUUUAGGGCUGGAGAGGAGUUCUCAUUGAUGGCCAUGUAGGAUGCAUUAUUGGACAUGAAGGAAAAAGUGGACUUUAUGUUGAAUUGGGUAGCGGUGGGACUGGGCUUGUUGGGCUUUGAUGGCUUAAAGAAGGGCCUUUUGGGUAAGUAACAUGGGCCAGCCUCUAGUGUGGUUUGUAAGAAGGCUCAAGAUUUGAAGGGUAAAAAUAAAGUGGAUGGGUCGGGCUUUUGGUUAAAAGCCCGAAACGGGUGUGUAGGGUUAAGAGUUGUGCUGUUGUCUUAGGAAUAUCAAUUUUGGCCUCCUCUUCUACCACUCUGGUGCCGAUACUUGCUCUGAUGGUCUCUGGCGACUCCCCUGGUGGUGUGUCGGAAAUGAAGUUGUCGUUGGAAGUGGAAGAGGGUGAAUUUGUGUUACGGAACGUUGAAAUGGAGGUGAUGAAUGGUGGGGAGUUUAAUCCGUUUGUGUCUCUAGCUUCUUUGGCUAAGGGUGUGCAUCUGUUGGAUUUGGUACCCAUGUUGCUUAAGCCUGUUUUCCAGUUGAUGUUUUUUUGCAACAUGAGCUGGAUGAUAGCUUGGGUUUGGCUAUUUUUGGAGACUUGCAAUAGGAUGUAUUACCUGGAGGGGACUUGGUUGAGCCCAAUUUAUAGUUGGUUUUAUUUGAGGGGGAAUGUUUUGAUGAAAAUGUGGGUAGCCCGACUCCCUUAUAGACUCUUCUGCCUCGAUCUUCAACUAGAAUGACCUCGGAUUGGGUUUUAAAAAAGGUUGAAGAAUUACAGGCCUAUGUGGGGAUAUCUUGUGAUGGUUUUGAAGAGCAAUCAAAGGCUCUUCUUGUUGGAAUGGAAGUUGGUCGUUCCUUGGCUUUGAAGUCAGCUUCCAAGAAGGAAAGGGAGUUAAGAAGAUUAAAAUGCUCCGUUCAUUAUGAUACCAAGGAGGGAAGGUAAAGCUCCUGGCUUGGAUGGUUUUUCAAUGACCUUUUUUUCAAGCUUGUUGGGAUGUUGUGAAAGAAGAUGUGAUGCGGGUUUUCAAGAAUUCUUUUCCUUUCAUAAGUUUGAAAAAUCUCUUAAUGUCACAUUUAUUGCUCUCAUUCCUAAGAAAUAUGGGGCUACAGAGUUGAUGGAUUUUCGUCCUCUCAGUCUUGUAAGUGGGGUCUACAAGAUAAUUUCGAAGGUGUUUGCUAAUCAUAUGAGUACGAUAAUGGAACAAAUUAUCUCUAAGUUCCAAAAUGCUUUUGCUCAGGGUAGACAAAUACUUGAUUCUUUUCUGGAGGUUCUUUAUUUUUAAUUUUAUUAUAAUUAUAUUCUGGAGUUCUUUGUGAGCUUGAUAUGAAAAAGGCGUAUGAUCAUGUCAAUUGGGAGUUCCUUUUCUAUAUGCUUGGGAGAUGUGGUUUCGGGGAGAGGUGGUGUGCGUGGAUUAGGCAUUGUGUCUCUAUUGCUCAGUUUUCAUUGUUAGUUAAUAGAAAUCCUUGUGGUUUUUUCCAUAGCCCUUGCGGUUUGAGACAGGUGGACCUGUUGUUCCCUUUCCUCUUUAUUAUUAUCGUGGAGGCAUUGGUAUGGUGGGUUGCUGUUAUUACCAGUUUUUUUUGUUUUGUUUUUGUUGUGUGGGGGGGGGGGGGGGGGGGGGGUUCUCUCUGGUUUUUUGGUGGGAAAUGCUAACAAUGGAUCUAUCACACUUUCUCAUCUUCUCUUUGUAGAUGUCACUUAUUUUUUGUGAUGCUGAUCGUGGGCAGAUUCAAGCCCUAAGGGCUGUGUUACUAUGUUUUGAAGCUGUUUUGGGCGUUAAGGUGAAUUUGGGUAAGUUUGAGGUGGUUCUGGUGGGGGAGGUGUAGAAUA
Long non-coding RNA from Carya illinoinensis, 2521 nucleotides. RefSeq lists it as uncharacterized. NCBI's taxonomy places the organism in Eukaryota, Viridiplantae, Streptophyta, Magnoliopsida, Fagales, Juglandaceae. The record is from RefSeq and is a predicted model, not a curated record. The transcript is spliced from 2 exons.